CGGUGUUUAACUGGCGUGAUGUGGGACGUCCUACCGGUGGGCUUAGCCUCGCGAGGGGCGGCCCAACUAAUAUCCCGUCGCGGUGCUCUUUACUGAGUGUCGAGUCGGGCCGGUACGUUUACUUUGAACAAAUUAGAGUGCUUAAAGCAGGCUAUCCUCGCCUGAAUACUGCGUGCAUGGAAUAAUGGAAUAGGACCUCGGUUCUAUUUUGUUGGUUUUCGGAACCCCGAGGUAAUGAUUAAUAGGGACAGAUGGGGGCAUUCGUAUUGCGACGUUAGAGGUGAAAUUCUUGGAUCGUCGCAAGACGGACAGAAGCGAAAGCAUUUGCCAAAAAUGUUUUCAUUAAUCAAGAACGAAAGUUAGAGGUUCGAAGGCGAUCAGAUACCGCCCUAGUUCUAACCAUAAACGAUGCCAGCCAGCGAUCCGCCGAAGUUCCUCCGAUGACUCGGCGGGCAGCUUCCGGGAAACCAAAGCUUUUGGGUUCCGGGGGAAGUAUGGUUGCAAAGCUGAAACUUAAAGGAAUUGACGGAAGGGCACCACCAGGAGUGGAGCCUGCGGCUUAAUUUGACUCAACACGGGAAACCUCACCAGGCCCAGACACCGGAAGGAUUGACAGAUUGAUAGCUCUUUCUUGAUUCGGUGGGUGGUGGUGCAUGGCCGUUCUUAGUUGGUGGAGCGAUUUGUCUGGUUAAUUCCGAUAACGAACGAGACUCUAGCCUGCUAAAUAGGCGUACCUUAUGGUAUCGCGAAGGCCCCCGGCUUCGGCCGGUGGGUUUUUACUACCAACGUACAAACAAAUCUUCUUAGAGGGACAGGCGG
RNAcentral lists this ribosomal RNA (819 nucleotides) under uncultured eukaryote. RNAcentral's name for it is "SSU rRNA". It matches the Rfam family "Eukaryotic small subunit ribosomal RNA", at positions 629 to 1426 of the family's 1831-position model. The record is from RNAcentral.